GGCAGUUCUCAGGUGACGCACCCGGGAAUCAGGCUCCCUCCUCUCUGUUUCUGGGUGCAUCACCUGAGAACCGCA
Molecule: non-coding RNA, 75 nt
Organism: Myotis lucifugus (little brown bat)
Lineage: Eukaryota; Metazoa; Chordata; Mammalia; Chiroptera; Vespertilionidae
Source: Rfam